AACGAACGCUGGCGGCAGGCCUAACACAUGCAAGUCGAGCGCGCCCUUCGGGGUGAGCGGCGGACGGGUGAGUAACGCGUGGGAACGUGCCCUUCUCUGCGGAAUAGCCUCGGGAAACUGAGAGUAAUACCGCAUACGCCCUUUGGGGGAAAGAUUUAUCGGAGAAGGAUCGGCCCGCGUUGGAUUAGGUAGUUGGUGGGGUAAUGGCCCACCAAGCCGACGAUCCAUAGCUGGUUUGAGAGGAUGAUCAGCCACACUGGGACUGAGACACGGCCCAGCCUCCUACGGGAGGCAGCAGUGGGGAAUCUUAGACAAUGGGGGCAACCCUGAUCUAGCCAUGCCGCGUGAGUGACGAAGGCCUUAGGGUUGUAAAGCUCUUUCAGCUGGGAAGAUAAUGACGGUACCAGCAGAAGAAGCCCCGGCUAACUCCGUG
This 433-nucleotide ribosomal RNA is filed under the name uncultured bacterium. Its description in RNAcentral is "partial 16S ribosomal RNA". It matches the Rfam family "Bacterial small subunit ribosomal RNA", at positions 29 to 507 of the family's 1533-position model. The record is from RNAcentral.